CCAAGACAUUAAUUGAUGGACUGGACUGACAUCGAUUACGUUUGGAUUUUUGUGAUGUUUUUAUCAGCCGUUCAGACUCACUGCAGAGGAACCAUUGGUCAACAAGCAACGUAAUGCUACAUUUCUCCAAGUCUGUUCUGAUGAAGAAACAAACCCAUCUACAUCUCAGAUGGCCUGAGGGGCUUAACAGUAUUUCCAGAUGUUCCUGCAGUAAUGCUGCCAUCAGACUGGAGCAGGAGGAAAGGGACAAUGUUUGUUUUCAGGUGAUUUUUCUCCCCUGUAUUUACACAGAUUUCUUUAGUUUCCAAACUUAAGUAUCACCCAUGAAAAUAGUGUAAAUCCUAGGAAACAUUACCAUUUUUUUUUCAAAUAUUAUUUGAAUGUUUUAACUACCAUAACAUCUUCCUACAUUUGUAAAGUGAUUUGUAAGGUAUCGAAGCAGUUUUCAACCAAAAAUAAAAGUGCUACAGUUUUACAUACAAGACCAAAGAAAUUAAACAUUUGUAUUAGUAAAUAUUAAUAUUUUUCUGUAAAGUAAAAUUAAAGCAUGAAAUGAAUGAAUAAAGAAAUAAAAUGGUAUAUAAAAAAUAUUAUAAUAGUUAUAAUAAUGUUAUAUUAGUUCUUUUUUAUUUUUGACUUGGG
Molecule: long non-coding RNA, 642 nt
Organism: Cyprinus carpio carpio
Lineage: Eukaryota; Metazoa; Chordata; Actinopteri; Cypriniformes; Cyprinidae
Source: Ensembl